CAGUAUAUAUUCAAGUUUGUGUAUAUAUUAGAAUCUACAGAAACUACAUAUAUUAUAAAGUGAAGAUGAAAACAUUCUAAAAUAGGAAGAAAAAUAAAAAUGGCCAGAUAUUUAUGAACAUUUAACUUCAGAGUAUGAUAGGAAUAAAUAAGAUAACAGGCAUGUGUUAUUGUGUUCAGUUUUCAGAAUAAAAUAUUGAAGUAUGUUAUAGACAUAAUGAUGGUAGAGAUAUCUCUUCAGCAUCCUGAAAUUCACACUAUGAAGAAACUUCAGCAUACUGAUAUCUGAAGACAAAGUCAGCCGAUUUAUAAAUCUAUGAUACCUUGACAUGACAGAAAUACUCUUUAUCAUUUAAUAUGUAGCUGAAAUGGAGUCUUGAAAGAAAUAGCAUUUUUUUUUGGGGGGGGGACAGAUUUUCACUCUUGUCUCCCAGGCUGGAGUGCAAUGACAUAAUCUUGGCUCACUGCAACCUCCACCUCCCAGGUUCAAGUGAUUCUCCUGCCUCAGCCUCCUGAGUAGCUGGGAUUAUAGGCGUAUGCCACCAUGCCCGGCUAAUUUUUUGUACUUUUAGUGGAGACAGGGUUUCACCACGUGUCAGGCUGGUGUUGAACUCCUGACCUCAGGUUAUCCACCCGCCUCGGCCUCCCAAAGUGCUGGGAUUACAGGCAUGAGCCACCGUGCCCAGCCGCAUUUUUUUAAUCUCUAAGGUUGCUUUCAAUGAAAGUGUAUAGAUUUAGAAACUAUUUUUUCCUUUAUUAUUUAAAAGACAUUAUAUAUACAUUAUAUAAUAUAUGCAUUAUAUAUAUUUGUCCCCUAUUAUGCAAGCAAUAUUUAUGAAUUUAUUAUUUGUCUCAUUGUAGGAGGGUAAAAAAAUGUAAACAGAACAUUUCAUUAGAAAAUAAUCUUAAGUUGAAAGGAAUAACAAAGUAUACAGAAAACAAAUGAAGAAGAAGUUGAUUCUUUUAGUCCCAGAAACAUCAUCAUGGCUUAGGUCUUCAGAAUAUUACAUAUUCUUCACCUUGUCUCUUGGUUUCCUUCUCCUCUAUAUUAUCUGUUUUGCUGCAGUAAGCUGGGUUGUUCAUGUCAGUUGGCACUAGUAUAACAACAAAUAAAAAGAAUCAGACAAAAAUUUCAACAGAUUAUGUUUUAGAACUAAAACAUAAGAUCUAUGGUAAAAUAUUUCAGUGAUACAUAGGACAAACUAAAGCUGAAAGAAUGUGUAUUCUAGUUUAAAUAGAAUUGCCCUGUUACAUGCUGAGGUAAUACAAGACUGUGAAGAUGAAAGUGUACUGUGUACUCUCAGUGGAAAAUCUGAUGUGCUCUGCAUUACUCAAUUGUGUCAACAUAGAAUCUUGACAAAAGAAAGUUUUAACACAAGUAAAGAAAAUGAUAACAUACUAAACACAAUGGAUAGAUUGAAAACAAAUUGCUUUGGCAGCUUUUCAUAUAAUUUCAGAGUUUAUUUUGACACUUCAUAAGUGUACAAUAUACCUUACAAUAGAGUUACAAAUAACCAUUUUCUUUGAUUUUUGCCUCUUGUAUUAAAGAAUUUAAAACCAAAAUAAAAAUAAAUCAUGUCAGAAAAGAGAGACUACAGUGUCAAGACUCCAGAGUAUUCAACAUGCCAAGGGCACUAAGAGAUGAAUCAAGAGGAAAAGAAUAAAAGUGCCAAAAAUAUAAUAAAAUCUUAGAAUUUAGGGAAUCUUUAAAGACUACUAAUUUCCUGUCUUCAGGAGCAUUAAGCUAAAUGUUGCCAAAAUGUAAAUUUUUCUAGUCCAAUUUGUGCUAUCAGAAAACAAGUCCUUAUUUUUAUGUCUGCAUUCAUUACUUAAAUCAAUAAAUAUGCAUUGAAUGCCUGCUUUGCGCUUAUGCUAGGCAUUAGGGUAAAUAAUACAUAAGAUCGGCUGGGCAUGGUGGCUAAUGCCUGUAAUCCCAGCACUUUGGGAGGCCGAGACGGGCAGAUCACGAAGUCAGAAGAUCGAGACCAUCCUGGAUAACACUGUUAAACCGCAUCUCUACUAAAAAUACAAAAAAAAAAAAAAAAAAAAAAAAAAAAAUAUUAGCGGGCGUGGGGAGGCUGAGGCAGGAGAAUGGCGUGAAACCGGGAGGCGGAGUUUGCAGUGAGCCAAGAUUGCGCCACUGCACUCCAGCCUGGGCGACAGAGCGAGACUCUGUUUCGGGAAAAAAAAAAUAAUAAGAUCAUAAAUAAUAAAUAAUAAAUACAAAUAUAAUUGUGAUAAUUCUUAUGAAGAAUAGAUAUGGGGUAUAGAGACAGUAUAUAAUGGGAAAAGUUGACUUUCAUGCUGUGUAAGAGAAAUCUCCCCCAGCAAAGUGCCUUUUGAGUUGAGAUUGAAGGAUAAAUAAAAACCAACCAAGCAAACAGUGAGAGAAGAAUGUUUCCUGCAGAAGGAACAGCAUGUGCAGUCUGUAGCUGAAGGAAAUAGAGCAUGUGUUAUGGGUUGAAUUUUAUCCCCCCAAAAGAUAUGUUGAAGUUCUAACUGCAAGUACGUCAGAAUGUGCUCUUAUUUGGAAAUAGGGCAUCAGUGCAGGUGUAAUUAGUUGUUAGGAUGAGGUCAUACUGGAAUAGGAUGGACCCUUAAUCCAAACUGACUGGUGUCAUAAGAAGAGGAGAAGAGAUGCAGGAGCAGAGACACAUGAAGAAAGAAUGUCAUGUUAUGGUGGUGUUAGAGAGUGAAAUGCUAAAGCUGAAAACCAAGUAACAUCAAUGAUUGCCAACAAACAUCAGACUCUAGAAAGGCAAUUCUUCCCUACAAGUUUCAGAGGGAGCGUGGCUCUGCUGAUACCUUGAUUUCAGACCUCUAGCCUCCAGAACCAGAGGAUCAUAAAUUUCUGUUUUAAGCCUCCCAGGUUUUGGCACUUUGUUGUGGCUUCCCUGAAAAACUAAUAAAGCAUGUGUGAGAAAAUGAACAAAAACUAAUGUGGCUGGAGAUGGAUAAAAAGGAGCAGGGGCAGUAGAGGGAGACAGGUAAUAAAGGCAGGCACAGCCAGAUCGUGUCUCAAUAUGAACAUUGCAUUGGUUUUCAAGAUCAAUAAGAAAUCAUUGAAUGUUUUAAACAAGUAGUUGAGUUGAUGACAUUUGUGUUUUGAAAUGACUUAUUUAGAUUGGAAUAAAGGCAAAAAUAAAUGUUGAGAGAUCGCUUAGAUGGUUAUUACUCUAGUCCCACUACGAGGUGAUGAAAAAGGGGCCUUGAGACAUUGCAGUGUAGAUGGGGAGUUUGGAUGAUUUAAAGUAUUUUACAAGAUAAAUGUGAUGGACUGGAUGAAGAAUAACAGGAAAGAGGUUGUGUCAAGGCUAACUGUGCCAGGUUCUGCAUUGUGCUUCUGGAUGGAUGGUGGUAUCACUCACAAAGGGAAGAAUAGAAGGGGACUAAGUUUGGAAGAGAAUAUAUUGAUUUAAUCAUGUUUAAUUUUAUGUAUCUGUGAAACAUUGAAGUAGAGAUGGCAGCAGUUAGAGAGAAGGAUCUGGAGCUUCAAGAAUGGCAUGCUUCCAAGUUUGUCUGAGACUGUCCUGAUUUACAACUUUUCUGCUGGCCUAAUUAUUAAUAGCAUCUACUUUCACUCUCAAUAAUGCUUUGGGUUUGUUUGGACAAUAAGUUAAUGGUUAAUCUGGUUAUACUUGACUAAUUUAUAUACUUAGAACUCUUUCCAAAUUCUCAUAUUUUCUACUUUGUAGGAGAAAUGUGUUUGUUCUUUACCCAGUUCUUAUUCCCUUCUUUCUCACCAGUAGUGCCUCAAUUUCCCUUUACAGAAUUAACAUUUCUUUGAUUUUCAUUUAUGUGAGUUAGCUCAAGGAUAGAUCUCCAUUGCUUUUACCAUAUCAUUAAGCCACAUUCAACUGCAUACACUGAUUAGAUUAGGGCAGGGUACAUGACACAUUUGGAGAUACUGAGAGGUUAGUGAAUUCCAGAACUUUGUAUGAGAGGAAAAAGAGACCCCAUUUCCCAGGAUAAUGAAGUGUUAGUACGUGAGGGCUGGAACUGUAGCAGCCAUUAUUGAUCACAGGGGAAUAAUAUCAAUCUUGUACUGAUGGUGGAUGAAAGGCAAUGUGUGGCUUGAGAAUUAAAGACACCAAUGAGGGGGAGAGUACAAAGUCAAAAAGAAGCUGGAUUUGUGGUGUCAUGGUUUUCGCCACUGGAGUAUAACUUUCUCGAAUCUAGACCUGGUACUGGAGUUUUAUUUAUGUGGAUUGAAAUAUGUCCUUUAUUGUGUAAGCCAGCUUGGAAUUAGCUUUGUCAAUUACAAAAUGUUAAGUCCCUAACCAGUAUUUUUUUUUGUAAUUGAUGGUAUUAAAUUUAUAUCUCCUGGUGUAGUGGUUGUAGGGCUAAGUGGGGAGUUUGUUAUUGGUUAAAAGAAGACAAAAUAUGUUAUUCUUUCUGCCAUUGUUUCAUAUAGUUGCAGAUUGAGGGUGGAGUCCUGUGAUUUUCAGGCUCUUCAUGUUAACAAUACUUGCAAAGAUGAAGAUGGAAUUCUCUGUCAUCCAUGCAGACAUACAGACACUCUAAAAGCUCAAGAGAUCAAUUAUUCAACUUCAAGAACUGAAAUUUGAACAUAGAUUUUGAGCUUCCAAAUCAGACUGCUGUUAAACUGGCUCACUCCAUAUACUCUGUGCCACAGCGAUUUAAUAUUUCAUUAAAAAGCAUUAAUGAUGGCUCCAGUGAAUUUCUCCUAUUCAAGCUCCAUAAUGACAGCAAUUCAAGUGACUGUCGAUCUCUGAGUGAUGCAACACAAAAACAUCGCCUAACAAAGGGACACUUGGAGUGCUACUCAUAUUCUCUGCAACUUGAGAUUUGUGAACAGUGAAAUGAUAUGAUGGAAAACGUGUUGUGGAACUUUUAGGAAGAUUAAUCUAUCAACAGUAAGCAAGAUGGAGAGUAAAGAGAAGUAUCUGAAACCUGGAGACCAGUGAUAAUUCCAUUGAAGUAAUUCAGUAUAUGCCUCUAAAGAAAUUAAAAAAAAAAGGCUUGUUUACUUUGGAAUGUGGAGUAAAGAGAGCAACAAGAGAUUGAAGUCAAAGAAUAGGAGAAACAGAAGUGUUCUAUAAGAAAUUUGGACAAGACUCUGCAAGAAGUUAAGAGCAAAAUUAUUUUGAGAUUCAUCUAUAUCAUGUAUAUUGGUGGUUCAUUCUUUCUUCAAUGGCUUAGAAUCCCCUUUGAUGAAGAGGAAGUUUACAUUUUGAAGUUGAGGCUUUCCAAGCAUUCAUUUCUCUAUGGGAUAUACACAGAAAUAAAAUUAUAAAAUGUCCUUAAAGGCAACUGUGAAUUAACGGAGACUGGUAUUGAGAAAAUCAGUCCUGAUUUGUUUCUCCUGGAGUUUUCUUCUUUAUGUGAUCCUUCAUAAAAGCUGCUAAUAUGGGAAAGAUUGAAAUCAGCAAGUUUCUGGCUGUAAGCUAAAAGAGGCUCUUGAAUCAUAUUUCCGCCUACUUAGCAAAUUUCUCUUGCGACAAUUGGAUGUUAUUUGGGGUUCCAUACUAGCAGGAAGAAGUACAAGCAAAGCUAAGUCAUUUUGAGAAUAAAUAUUAUCUCUAUAUAUAUUUGUAACUGCUAUUUUCUUUCCUUUUUGAGGUUUAUGAUUGAUCCUUGGCAUGUGUCCCCUUGUGUAUUGCUCUACUGAAAACAGCCUAAAAAAGAAUUUCCCCUCGAUGUGGAACUUCUCUUUAGUUACAAUUCUACUUUCUCCUUCACUUGAGUAUCAGUCUUCAGAGAACUAGCAUAACAAAGGAGUGGAUACAGAUGUACACAAAAAAAGUCUAUGAGAAAAUUAGUACAUUAAAUUUGUGAAAGCUCAUUUAAAGUAAUUUUCUACUAAAAAUUUUAAUCAAAUGUAUUAAUCAUAUUUCUAUGCUUAGUGAUGUUAAAUAAAAAUUUAAAAGUUGGCAAUCAAUAAGCAGAGAUAAAAGCUUCUCAAGAAUAAAUGAAAGGAAGUAAUAAAAAGACUCACUAAGCUGCAGUGCCUCCUAUCAACAGCAGCUGAUAAAAUAUUAAAAGAAUUGCCUUGUGUAAUGUCUCUGGAGAGCUGUCUUACUGAUGUACUAGGCCAUGAUUGACAACUUUGAGACUUUGCUGGAAGCAACAAAAGUAUAUCUAUAAUAUUAUGCUGAAUUGCAUAGGUCUUUCUUCUUAAAUGGGGCUAGAAAUAACAUACCACCAAGUGUUUGGCUUUUAGGAAAUUGAGCAUUUUCUUUAGUUCUAGCUGCAGUUUAAUUUCCUCAGAAUUAGACAUUAUGCGGUAUCUGGAAUGUAAAAAAACAAAAGCAAAAACAGGGUAUUGUACCUAAUGAUAUGUCAAAUAAUUUUGGAGGAAUUAAGAAAUCACUGGAAGAAAUUACAUGGGUGAGUAAUGGUUUUUAUGUCACAAUAAAUAAUUAGUAAUAUUUACUGACACGUUUCCUGUGCCUGGUACUGAGCUAAAUGAUUUAUGUGCAUCGUUUGUAUUAAGCCCCCCAAAAUUCUGUGGUGUAUGUAAUGAUAUUUCCAUUUUUCUUGAGAUAAGGAACUGAAACUCAGAAAAGUUAAGGAACUUGUCCAAGAUUAUAGUAAGUGGCUUAGCUCAAUUUUGAAUCUAGAUCAAUCUGACUCCAACCAGCAUGAGGAACUGAAACUGACUAUGAGGCUGGUGACACUCUAGGCAUUUAUUCACAAGAGAUAUUGUGAUGACAUGUAAGAGAAUGUUGGAUGAAGGAAGCACGUACUAGAAAGAUUGGAAAGAGCAGAAAACACAGGGAAGUGCUAUUUAUUUGCUUUCCUAGUUCCAGUAAUUUGGUCUAAUGGGGAGGAUGAAAGUAGACAGAUGCCUGAAAACACUUUGAGAUUUAUGUAUAAGCAGCAUGACUUCAGUGACCAAGCCACACGGAGUCUGGGAGUGGAACAUUCUCUUUGGUCAUUAUGCCAUUGCGGCAUGGUCUGUCAGUGCAGUGAGAACCAAAGUAUAGUGUGGUAACCUGAAACUGUUAUGGCUAUGGGUACACCUGGGUAGGUAGCUGUUCACCCCUUCACAGAGGGUAGUAGCAAUGAUAGCAAAGUACCUCUUCCCAGUAACUUUCAGAACAUAGAUGCUAUGUAAGAUCUGAAGUUUGAAAACCUGAAACAAAAGCAGAGCAUUAUAUCCAAGCACAUUGGAGACAACUGUGGAGGAAUCAAGGAACACCUAGUGGAGAUUUAAUGUUUUGGGGACUGUUUUUUAUUUCAGAAGGUGAUAAGUAUAAAACAAUCAAACUCUAGGUAUAGGGAUGAACAUUAUUUUGUGUCAUAAAUUUGUCUAAUAUAGUUGCUGCUUCAACAUCCAGUUUUGGCUUGAUAUAGUCAAGGUGACCAGUCAUGCCUUGUCACCUUUGGUUUUAUUAAAAUUUUCCUUCCUCUAGUGGUUAUUUGUGAUAUAGCCCUGUUGUUCCCCAUCUCACUGACCCCAAAUUCAACACAUGCCACAGCUGCUGGCCACAGUGAAAACUGCUGGUCAACACCAGUCAUGUGAAUAAGAUGUCCCUUCAUGUGUUUUCUUUAAGCUAGCCUAUCCACAGCCCCAUGGGAAAGCCUAAAGAAUAGUACCUGUGGAUUAUAAUAAAGACAUAGUCUUACUGGUUCUUGCUCUCUAUCUGUCCCUGUACACACUGGUCAAGCACACUCUUGUCUCCAGACUUCCCAUUGGCCUCCUUUCAACACCUGUAACCACUCUGGACCUGGGAAUAAUAAACUUCUUUCUUUUUUUUUAAUGUA
Molecule: long non-coding RNA, 7730 nt
Organism: Symphalangus syndactylus (siamang)
Lineage: Eukaryota; Metazoa; Chordata; Mammalia; Primates; Hylobatidae
Source: RefSeq, a predicted model, not a curated record